UAAGAACAUACUAGAACUAUUUUAGGU
Molecule: non-coding RNA, 27 nt
Filed under: Bombyx mori (domestic silkworm)
Lineage: Eukaryota; Metazoa; Arthropoda; Insecta; Lepidoptera; Bombycidae
Source: RNAcentral